UACGUAGGGCGCAAGCGUUGUCCGGAAUUAUUGGGCGUAAAGAGCUCGUAGGCGGCUUGUGACGUCGGGGGUGAAAGACCGGGGCUUAACCCCGGUUCUGCAUUCGAUACGGGCUGGCUAGAGUGUGGUAGGGGAGAUCGGAAUUCCUGGUGUAGCGGUGAAAUGCGCAGAUAUCAGGAGGAACACCGGUGGCGAAGGCGGAUCUCUGGGCCAUUACUGACGCUGAGGAGCGAAAGCGUGGGGAGCGAACAGG
Molecule: ribosomal RNA, 253 nt
Filed under: uncultured bacterium
Lineage: Bacteria
Description: partial 16S ribosomal RNA
Rfam family: Bacterial small subunit ribosomal RNA
Source: RNAcentral